GACGAACGCUGGCGGCGUGCUUAACACAUGCAAGUCGAACGGAAAGGCCCUGCUUUUGUGGGGUGCUCGAGUGGCGAACGGGUGAGUAACACGUGAGUAACCUGCCCUUGACUUUGGGAUAACUUCAGGAAACUGGGGCUAAUACCGGAUAGGAGCUCCUGCUGCAUGGUGGGGGUUGGAAAGUUUCGGCGGUUGGGGAUGGACUCGCGGCUUAUCAGCUUGUUGGUGGGGUAGUGGCUUACCAAGGCUUUGACGGGUAGCCGGCCUGAGAGGGUGACCGGCCACAUUGGGACUGAGAUACGGCCCAGACUCCUACGGGAGGCAGCAGUGGGGAAUAUUGCACAAUGGGCGGAAGCCUGAUGAAGAAACGCCGCGUGCGGGAUGACGGCCUUCGGGUUGUAAACCGCUUUCGCCUGUGACGAAGCGUGAGUGACGGUAAUGGGUAAAGAAGCACCGGCUAACUACGUG
This 468-nucleotide ribosomal RNA is filed under the name uncultured bacterium. RNAcentral's name for it is "partial 16S ribosomal RNA". It matches the Rfam family "Bacterial small subunit ribosomal RNA", at positions 28 to 507 of the family's 1533-position model. The record is from RNAcentral.